This 280-nucleotide ribosomal RNA is filed under the name Enterococcus faecium. Its description in RNAcentral is "partial 16S ribosomal RNA". It matches the Rfam family "Bacterial small subunit ribosomal RNA", at positions 1 to 259 of the family's 1533-position model. Lineage: Bacteria; Bacillati; Bacillota; Bacilli; Lactobacillales; Enterococcaceae. The record is from RNAcentral.
UUUUAUGAGAGUUUGAUCCUGGCUCAGGACGAACGCUGGCGGCGUGCCUAAUACAUGCAAGUCGAACGCUUCUUUUUCCACCGGAGCUUGCUCCACCGGAAAAAGAAGAGUGGCGAACGGGUGAGUAACACGUGGGUAACCUGCCCAUCAGAAGGGGAUAACACUUGGAAACAGGUGCUAAUACCGUAUAACAAUCAAAACCGCAUGGUUUUGAUUUGAAAGGCGCUUUCGGGUGUCGCUGAUGGAUGGACCCGCGGUGCAUUAGCUAGUUGGUGAGGUA